Molecule: ribosomal RNA, 526 nt
Filed under: uncultured bacterium
Lineage: Bacteria
Description: bacterial SSU rRNA
Rfam family: Bacterial small subunit ribosomal RNA
Source: RNAcentral
AUAGAUACCCAGGUAGUCCACGCCGUAAACGAUGAGUGCUAAGUGUUAGAGGGUUUCCGCCCUUUAGUGCUGCAGCUAACGCAUUAAGCACUCCGCCUGGGGAGUACGGUCGCAAGACUGAAACUCAAAGGAAUUGACGGGGGCCCGCACAAGCGGUGGAGCAUGUGGUUUAAUUCGAAGCAACGCGAAGAACCUUACCAGGUCUUGACAUCCUCUGACAACUCUAGAGAUAGAGCGUUCCCCUUCGGGGGACAGAGUGACAGGUGGUGCAUGGUUGUCGUCAGCUCGUGUCGUGAGAUGUUGGGUUAAGUCCCGCAACGAGCGCAACCCUUGAUCUUAGUUGCCAGCAUUUAGUUGGGCACUCUAAGGUGACUGCCGGUGACAAACCGGAGGAAGGUGGGGAUGACGUCAAAUCAUCAUGCCCCUUAUGACCUGGGCUACACACGUGCUACAAUGGAUGGUACAAAGGGCUGCAAGACCGCGAGGUCAAGCCAAUCCCAUAAAAACCAUUCUCAGUUCGGAUUGU